This is a long non-coding RNA of Cephus cinctus (wheat stem sawfly), 8266 nucleotides long. RefSeq lists it as uncharacterized. The record is from RefSeq and is a predicted model, not a curated record. Lineage: Eukaryota; Metazoa; Arthropoda; Insecta; Hymenoptera; Cephidae. The transcript has 6 exons.
GAAAGGCAAAACGCUAGGGAGUCUAUUUCCAGACGGAAUGAAAAUGGAACGCCUGGCCAUAUGGAGCGCUGAUACUUGUCUGAUGGAACUAUAAAAUACGUAGCCAGCACGGCAGAUCGUCGUUGCGAAAUACGUUGGACAUAGUUAAGUACUGAAUUCGAAAUGUUUCCAGAUAGUCGCCACCCCCGUUCGUCGGGUAUCGACACGAGUAUACAAAUAUAUUAUUUACUUUUAAUCUCAUCGUGAAGCUACAGAGAAUCAAACAAUGAAAAUGACUAAUUAAUUCUUUUUGAGGUUAAUAAUAGGAUCGUGAUCGUGACAGUCAUAGGUACCAGAGGUAUUACAACUGGUAUGAUGCCAACUGUUAAUCGUCACGAUAUUGCAGCACGUUCGUAUCUCGGACUUGUGUCCUUUCACUGGGGCCAGGUGCGACGAAUUACGCGAUUUUCUAACCGGGAACACUUCAGCCUUAUAGUCGGAGUGUUGACCGACAUUCUGAACAAGACGUGCAACGGAACUUUCGUAACUCCACUUGAACUUCUUUGUUGUUCACCCAUCAGAGCCUCAAGGAAUACUGUCAUUUAUUAACAAGGAUACACCUAUAAGAGUGAUUAAAACGAAUAUUCUCCAAGGAGAGAAUUCCUGAAAAUAUUUGAUCAUCCUCAUUAACCCUAAUGAAGUACAAGGCCUGGGGCUAUAAAAACUACCAUGAAUUACGAAUAGAACCAAUAGCAAUAAUAAAUUCGCUGAUGGGAAUUUUUUACAUACAAAUUCUUCUGUAGCAAGAUAUACAUUCAGAGAUUGCUGCUAUCAUUUCCGGUAAAACCAGAACGUAUGACGCUCACCUGGCUGGCCUUAUAAUCCGAUUAAAUCUUGUAUAAUAACAACAGUACACGACGUUCUCAUUCGUCCACUCGCUCGCUAGCGCGGAUUGAGUUUCACGGUACAGAGCAAUUACAAAAUGUAACCCAAGGCGUAAAGGAAAGUAGAAAAGAAACCGAAGAGUCGCACAAUGAGAGUCAUACUCGUAUCUGUUGAGUGACUCCAGAUGAUUCACGGUUAAAGGAAGCUGCCGGCAAGAAGCCAAUCGUUAAUUAACGAUAUGAGAAAAAGUAAACGACAACGAAAUUCAAUCACGUAAUUGAGCCCAGUGAAGGAAGUGAGAAAAAUCAGUCUCCAGCAUCGAUUAAAAACAAUUCAGAGAAGAAACCAACGAUCGUCCAUACCGGACAGCUACAUAAGUUUACUGUCGACUUUAUCGCAUUCAAAAGGAUCCAGCGCAACGUUGCGUCAGCCUUUGAGAAAUCGCAAUGCCUAUAGGGCAUAUUAGUAUUUAGAAAGGACCUACAAAUGACGUACCUUAUAAAAGCACCGUUACGACGCGUGUACUAUAGCAUCCAACAGUAUUGCUAUGGCAGUGGAAAAAUUUAAUUCCAAUCCCUGCGUGCUGGUAGCACGUGUUCCUGUAACUAGCGAAUGAUAUACAUGACCAAGAAAAGUGGUCGUUGUCUUCGAGAUAAGGAUAAACUUCUUUGUUCCGCUAAGCAACAGUCUGAAAAUCACGUCAAUUGAUAUACGCUACGAAAACGAAGUACAAAAUGGCACCAUUGAUUCGUCACUCGAACAAAGACGUCAGAGCGUGUUUUGCACGCAGCCAAAGUUCAUUAUGAACCUGCAAAGAUGACUGUGACGAUAUCAUAACUGGAACUGAUGGACAAGGUUAGAAUUUCGCAUUGAAAAACAUAUGCGAUACCAUACAGUCACUUCGGACAAACGAAGCUUUCAUGCUUUUAUUCAGAAUCAUAGGUCAAUAGGUCAACUGCUAUAUCUGUAUACUCGACACAUGGCCUCGUGUAAUUCAUCGAAUAUCGAACUCGUGCAACCCAUCGCAAUGCGUUUCCGUAUGCGUUCUACACGGCUACGUGGACGUUACGGUUACCCUGUUUAAUCGAAGUAGAUUAUAUAACCCGUGUCCCGACACGUGUGACUGAGUAUUAUCUGGUUAGCCUUGCGACCAUACGAACUGAUUUUGUUGCUAGCUGAGUAGAGUCAUUGAGGUGUAAAAGAUUUUUGUGUUAAAUGGUGGCACUAAUAAAUUUUGUCAAUUACUAGAAAAAUACAAGCAAACUUGGACUCUAUGUUGAAAUCAGCUUCGCUAAAAACAUAUCCGGUUUGUUAGCUGUCAAGUCGACGCGAACCUCUCGACGCUGAUACGUUUACACUGUUACGGGUUGGUACUAGCGAUAUUCGCGCCCUCUAUCGUUCGACGGGUGCGAAUUUUAAACGAGAAUCCGGGACAUCUGAAAAAAUCGGAAAUCUUUUACCAGCCUAUCGAGUGUCCUACUUUCGUGAACUUACUAGCGAUUCGGGUAAAACUGGGUCGACUAGCCAAAGUAACGAAGGGGUUGCAGCCCUGCGGGCGAAUCUAUCCCCGGUUUGGUGCACUUGGAUACAAGUGGACCGUUCCAGCUACGUGGGUGAAACUUUAAGAAAGAAUAUUCAGAGUAAAAUAAUGUCUGACUAGGAUCGGUUGAAAAAAAUUAAUCAUUCCAAUAAUGGUUAUGUACGGCAUUACAUUGUUGGAAUAUAUACUUAGGAUUUUUUAGGUUAAAACCUCAAAGACCAGAGACGGUUAAUCAGGAGGAAAUGACGGUUAUUGAAAAUUGACUACAGUCGUUCAGGAAGUGAACGUAGGCAAGUUAAUUUUCAUGGUGGUGGUUGGCUCGAACUGUAUGUUGAUCCGCCGCAGUAAACUUGCACGUGCACGUGUAUCGCCAUAGCAACGUAAUUAGAAUAAGGGAAAACCGUACCCGAGCGAAGGAGGAGCGAGAGCCCGUCAAAACAACCAGAAAGGUCAUAACGCUAGAUAGAACAGUGCUAUCCAAUUCCGAGAAACGACUUACAGCCAGAGUGUACAUAAUUGCAACUAGAUAGAUCCCCACUAAACAGUAUAAGAAGACCACGAAAUAUAGAUUCUACAGAUACUGUAGUUAUACCGUUUCUUAACGAGCUUCUGACAUUCGUCGUAACGACGUCUUGUACACGAGAAGACCAAAAAAGGCUGAGUUAUCUGAAACAGUAGAAAAAAAUAGUAUCCAGCCGAGUAGUUGUAUAACUGAAACGAUGACCCAAAAAAAUAAUAUGCAGUGUGUUCGUAAAGAAGAGCAGCCCCAAAACUAAGGAUACGAAAUUCUUAAAUAUACAACUAUGGGACAAAGGAUUUAUUCAAAAUCUCCAACCGCGACGUGCAGCAGGAUUGAGUGGUCGGCUAUCUUGUGACAUGAAAGAGGAAACUAAUUACAGGAUAGGUUAUACACGUAAACACAGAUGCGAAUUCUAACGGGUGAGUGUUUUAUUCCAUGCCAAACAAAAGAUUGCACGAUGGAUUCAGGACAAAAGUUUAGCACGGUAUGGAAGCAGUAUUUGAACAGCAAUGGCGGCGGCAGUCCGCUACAGGGAAACGUAAACGUCAAAGGGGUAACGAGGACGGUAGGUGGGAAGUGGACGUAGAUCUAGGUUACCUGCAUAUUAUGCAACCAAUACCAGGACAAUUUAUCAGACGCAUACAAGCACGUAUUGUGCUAGACCUCAAAGACACGCGAAUACACUAUAUAUAUGGCGAUCUAUUGCUAUUGAAUAUACAGGUAUAUAUUUAUAUGUAUUACCACAUGGAACUGCUUGCUUAUACUCCAUAAUAAAUUGCAUCAUUAAACUUUCUUCAAAAUUGUAGGUAAUUCUUUGUUAAUAAAUAUAAAUAUCCCUAGAAUCAAAAUAUACUAGCAAACGAAAUAUUACAGAGUAUGAAAAUGACAGAGUAAAAUACAGUGUGAACUGAAUUGAAAAUGAUUUUACUUAAAAAAUUGUAUAUCGAAUUUCAUACCUAAAGCUCUGUUUGUACUUUGCGGACAUCGAUCAAUGUCCAACUAUCAUGGACAUGUGCGUGUAAAACUGUUUGAAUACUGUUGAGGCAUAAUUUCGUAAUCGUAUUUAAAAGUUCAACGUUCAUUAAUACUUCACUAUCCGUUUCACUGGUUUUGUACUAUCUUAACAAUUCCGAAAAUAUUUUAUGAUUAAUAGUUGCUAUUCAAUUAUUCCAUAUGGGCAGGACUGAGCAAUGGGGUCAGAAAGUGAUAAAAAAAAAUGUUUAACAUUCCUUUCACUGAAUUUGAGCUUUGAAAGUGUAUUGGUUGAGGGGUUUUUCUUGGUAUAAUAAAAAUGUGGGUCAGCUGGAUUCAAGAUCGAAAUCAAGUCUUUUUCUCGGGAAUCUCGCUUUAAAAUAGAAACAUUUUUAUUUUCUGACUUGUCGAAUUCUCAUAGGAGCAGCCAUAUACGUCUAGCUCCACUUUUGUAUGAUUUUUCUUGAAGUUUAAACAUUUCUUUUUUUUAAUUUAUACGGAGCACACCCCCAUUUCUUGUCACGUGUAAAAAUUGGAUUAAUUAAAAUUCUGACGAAUUUUUUUUCUUAUGGGGAUAAAGUAAAAUAACCAUUUUAAAGAUUUUUCUUGCUUCUGACGUCAUCAAUCUUUCUACGUCAACGCACAAGGUUACCCCUAACAGUAGCCUUGACGACGGAAAUGGUUCCGCCUUUUCGAAAACAGCUGUCUGAUCAUUUCGAUACAAGUCAUACCCAAAGUCAGGUACGGAGUUAUACACAGGAAUACAGUAUAUCAUAGGCUUGCGAAUUUAAACGAUGGCUUUAAGCCGAUGAAAACAAGCCAAAGAAUACUUCGUAGAAACGUCAGGACGUUGAACCAAUCGUCUUCAGAUACGUUCCAAAAAACCAUUCAAGGUCUACAAGCCGUUCGAUCGUGAUAUUCGACGGUAUGAAAUUGUAUUUAACGUCCAGAUAGAAUACGUAAAAACUUGGUUAAAAUCGCGUGUAGAAAAAUAACCAAAAAUCACAACAUUGCUUUUCCACCUGAACAACAGUGAAAUCAUGAUACGUUUACAUAAGAGUGAUUAGGCGUGAAAAAGAAGAAAAAGAAAUUGGCAGGGAAAAGCAGAGGGAGAAAUCAUCACCAUAGAUUUAUCACUCGCCCGAUUGUUUCCCAGGAAAUUGGAUGCGUGUCCUCGGUGAAAGUGAAUUUUACGCAACGCGUACUUCACGCCGCGCAACGUUAUUCAAACUCAUCGAAUUCCAAGCAAAACUUGGCUACUUAAAAAAUCCACCCUUAGAAAAAAAAAUCCCUAUGAAAAAAAAAGUAUAUUCAAAAUCAAUCUUGUAAUUCCAGGAUAUAUAAAACGUGAAAUUACCAAGCCAUAAAAAUCUUAUAUAGACAGCAAUUAAAGAUGCGUCGAUAACGAAGACUUUUAUCGACGGAAGGUAAAACAGCAUCGCAUUACGAAAACACAAGGCAUUCUUAAUCGGUCGACAGAGUCUUGAUAAUGCGGAAGAAGCCAACGUACGAGCUGACGAGUUUAAAGCUGUGACCUUGUCUUGAAACGUCACCUGCAUUAUAUACUAUAACCCUAUAGUGUGCUAGAGUAUAGCUGGUAUAAAAAGAUACUGACAAUUAAACAUUCUACUGUAUAUGAACUAUAUACCCGCCGCACUGGUAGAUACGACGGGUACAUGAGAUUCAUAAGAGACAGUAUCGUCUUGUCGUAUAUGAGAUAACACGGGCACAAUCUAUUCUCGAAUUACGUAAGGUGGAACAACGUUAUACAGAAGUGACAGUUGUUCAGGGCGAACGAAUUAAUUAUGAAAGUGACUAAGGGUAAGAGAAAAAUAUAAUAAUUGGAUAACGUCGGCAUAUGACAUUCGUUAAGAGACUCACAUGGCCCAGUACAGUAGACCCGCGAGUAUAGAAUGGAUAAUUAAUAUUUUGAUAUCCCGAAGCGGCUUAAAAAUUUUCAAUUAUAAACCUCCAACAAUGCAGAUAACGACUUGGCGACGUUCUCCGUGCGCACGUCUAUUUUUGUCAGCCGGUUAGAUUUUAUUACGAAGGCCGUCGGACGCCGAUGCGACUCCUGCCGGGGUGUCUGCAAGUCCAAAUUGCAAAAGAUGUCAAAGGUUCAGAGAGAAUGACUUAUACAAUUGUCAAUUAAAUCCUUAGGGCGUAUUGUGACGCAGAAGCGAAAAGGUCAAGUGCACGAUAAUAACACGAGAAGAUAGAUGUAGCACGGUUAAAAGAAAAAAAUUCCUACUAAAAAUUCACCAGGAAUAAAUCUAAGGAAUGAUUCGACACUUUUUAAAAUUCUCUUGUUGUCACGUUAAUACUGUGUGUGCUUUACAUUUAAAUAUUCUUUAACUCUAUAAAGGAUAACCUUUUCUUUUAAUCUACGUUAAAAAUUAAAUGGGCUUGGAACUCAAAUUUACGUAGGUUAUACUUCCAGGGUUGAACUAACCUCACAUUUAAUUAAAUCUUACUCGUGACACGCUCGCUUUAUUGUCAAUGCAAAAUGGACGCCGUCAGCCGUUACGGUUAAUUCGGUCAUAGAUAAAAUUAGGAUGAUUCACUCUGGAGGUAGGUUAAUACGAAUAGGUAUCCUUUUCUCGAUCGGGUAUAUGUAUAUAUGUAUAUACGCUGUGUCUUUAUAAGCUGUUACACUCCACUUACGUUCGAAGGCAGGAAUUACGCGAUCUGAUGCAAUGUUACUUACUACAACGUGAUGUUCACUGGAAUUGCGAUGAUGCAAGGUUACAAAUUAUUCUGGUAAAAAUCCCUGGCGACUAUGUUACCCGGCAGAUCUUUUCGAGCGUUUACUUGAAAAUUAUCAGAAACAGUCGUUACGUCGUUAAGUAACGCAGGAAGACGGAGCCUGGAAGAUCCAACUAGAAGCAUUGAUAAUCCGAAAAUAGAAUCUAAUCGCCAUGGUGCAAAUACUAGAUUUACAGCACGAUGUUAACACGUGAAGCCACAUGUUAUAAACGAACGAGCAUCGUACUGAGUAAUCUGGCUGAACUAGAUUCAGUUCAACUAAAAUCUAAUUAGGUGAUAAAGAAAUGACUUGUAGGAAAACCUAACUCAACAAAACUUGACAAAAAUUCAUUUAUCUAUAAUGUAAGCAGGUUACGUACUUAUGAAAGGGUACUGAUAGAAGUGCACUGAAGCAUAGCGCAAGUAAAACAUAACCUCUCUCGGUAGAAAAUCAUUUCCCUAGUACUAAUAUACGAAGGGAAGAAUAUGUGAGUUAAAUACAUUUUGAGUACAAGAUACCUUUUACAAAUCUAAAAGCAACAAAUUUCUGCUUGUAGUUUGUACACGCAACAUGUACAUAUAUCUCCUGAAGAAUAUUGAAAGAUAUGUAUAUUCUUAUAUAUACAUGUUUAUUGAUAAUGUAGGUCAACCCGUUUACACGACUGUACAGCACUUCAAGUAGUCUCUGCAAGUUUAUCUGCCCUAACAUAUUUCAAGCGAUUUAAAACUAUGCACAACACACGAAAUUGCAAGCUGCAUCCUUAAGCUUCGACGCUUUUACUCUUGGACGAUCGAGUAAAGAAUUGCUUUGAAGCAACGUGUGGAAGUGUAUUGCACAAGCUUGUGCAAAGCUUACGUAGUAUAGUGAACGUCUACAUUGGCGUGAAUAAACGUGACAAAGCAGGAGUUUAUGAAUUCGUGGACACGACGCACCGAUGAAACCUGUCUUGACAAGAGGGACACAGAACAUAACUGGAAUUAUCUAUCCUGAAGCUUCUGUACAUAGAUACAGUCAUAUUUUCGUAAAGUCCAAAAAAGAGUUGAUAUUAGAGGCAACACGAGUUUUCUCUGGUAUAAACUCAAAACUGAUGCGAGUUGUUAAAAAGCAGUUAAAAUAAUAUAUAUAUGUGCUAUAUGCCCAUACCUAGACACCACAUGUGGCAUGAAAGCGUAGGAGUUCAUUCGUCGAUAUUUUUACAGUAAAACCUCAUACGAGUGAGCGAUAAUUAUUGUCUAUUGAUGAAAAUAUAUAAGAUACAUGACUCCAUUUUUUCAAGCACGUCUUGAUAAUUCUUGUCAAAAAUUAACUUUUCUUUUCACAUGAUAGACGCGUGUUGUUAUCUAACAAAAAAUUAGAAGCAGUAUCAGGAACAGAAAUCAUUGUGAGAUAUGCAUAACCGAGUUACGUUAUUAAAGUGACUGUUGAAGGACGUAAAAAAAUAUAAACGGUAACAAUUCAAAAUCUGUACGUGGACAUGAUUUCGUUUGUUAUUAAAAAAAAAUAAUUCCAUCUAAACUCUCGUAGGGAUACUAGCAAUAUGGCGUAAGAAAAACAUGUAACGUUGUACAGUGACGGUUUAUUAGUUUAAUUACAGGAAUAAAUAGCAUCGAAAUCAACUGUAUAU